CGGUUGGUCGGUGCGGCUCUAGGAAGAAAGUUAAUCGCAGGUGGAGAUUGUAUGCUACUGACACUCGCGUUUUGGAAAGCGGCACGGUGGAUAGAAGUAAUGCUAAUUCUCAGCUUCCCACAGUUCCCUCUAUUGAAAUCCCAGUCACUUGCUACCAGAUCAUCGGUGUCUCAGACCGAGCUGAGAAGGAUGAAAUUGUCAAGUCGGUAAUGCAUCUCAAGAAUGCUGAG
Molecule: unclassified non-coding RNA, 230 nt
Filed under: Hevea brasiliensis (rubber tree)
Lineage: Eukaryota; Viridiplantae; Streptophyta; Magnoliopsida; Malpighiales; Euphorbiaceae
Source: RNAcentral